UGGGGAAUAUUGGACAAUGGGCGAAAGCCUGAUCCAGCCAUGCCGCGUGUGUGAAGAAGGUCUUCGGAUUGUAAAGCACUUUAAGUUGGGAGGAAGGGCAGUAAGCGAAUACCUUGCUGUUUUGACGUUACCGACAGAAUAAGCACCGGCUAACUCUGUGCCAGCAGCCGCGGUAAUACAGAGGGUGCGAGCGUUAAUCGGAUUUACUGGGCGUAAAGCGUGCGUAGGCGGCUAAUUGAGUCGGAUGUGAAAUCCCCGAGCUUAACUUGGGAAUUGCAUUCGAUACUGGUUAGCUAGAGUGUGGGAGAGGAUGGUAGAAUUCCAGGUGUAGCGGUGAAAUGCGUAGAGAUCUGAAGGAAUACCGAUGGCGAAGGCAGCCAUCUGGCCUAACACUGACGCUGAGGUACGAAAGCAUGGGGAGCAAACAGG
Molecule: ribosomal RNA, 429 nt
Filed under: Pseudomonadota bacterium
Lineage: Bacteria; Pseudomonadati; Pseudomonadota
Description: Proteobacteria bacterium partial 16S ribosomal RNA
Rfam family: Bacterial small subunit ribosomal RNA
Source: RNAcentral